UUGCUUUGUCCAAGAACUCUGCAAAAUGGUCAGGAAAUUAUUUUUAUUAAUCAUUUCCACCUCAAGUUCAGAAGCUCAUCACAGCUAGGAUACUAAAACUUCUUUGAAAAGCGAACUUAUUGUAUACCUGUGUACCACUCCCAUCAUCGCUUCCAUCACCAACAUUCGGACCAAAGCUACCAUCAACAUCCUCAUCACUGCUGCUGCUGUUAUUGUUGGACUUCUCAACAUUUUUUGAUCUUACGGACUUUUGAGUUUGAGUUACACUGCCACUUUCACUUC
This 282-nucleotide long non-coding RNA is filed under the name Linum usitatissimum (flax). RNAcentral's name for it is "long non-coding RNA (LUSI_LNC000804)". The record is from RNAcentral. Lineage: Eukaryota; Viridiplantae; Streptophyta; Magnoliopsida; Malpighiales; Linaceae.